CCAUAUCCAAACAUUUCAUAAGAUAAUAUAAAAAAAGCGUAAACUUUAAAUAUCCCUCGUGGUUUCACACUUUUUCACUUUAGUAUUCUGUGUUUUAAAGUAUACCGAGUUAAGAUCCUCUGGUUUCAUUUUUCUUUUUUUAUUAUCCAUUUCACUAAUUUUUUUCGUUAAAUCAUUAACAAAGUUAAAAUUAAAGGGUAUUAAAAUGAAUAUUCGAUAAACCUAGAUAGGAUAUCUAAAUUUUUCGUAUAUAAUUUAGGGAAAUAUUAACGGAAGAAAAAAAAAUCGGUAACAAAGUUAAAACUAAAGGGUGCUAAAGUAAAUAUUCGAUAGACCUAGAUAGGAUAUCUAAAAUUUUUUGUAUAUAAUUUUAUAAAAUAUUAACAGAGGAGCCGACGAAAAGAGAAAAAUAAAACCAUAGGGUACUAAAUUGAUACACUUUAAACCAUAGUAUACUAAAGUGAAAAAAUGCGAAACCACAUGGGUGGCAUUUGAAGUUUUUCUAAAAAAAAUAUUAGCAAAGAAACUAUUUAGAUAUUCACGAGAAGCGUGAUGAAUAUAUCAGAACAAAUAUUGCUGUCAAUAACUAGUAUUAAAGUGGAAAAAGCAUAUAAAAGCAAAUGUUUUUUUGAGAGAUAGGUAGCACGCUACGCGCUUCAUUUAUUUCAUUUAGAAAUAAACUUAGCUAGAAAUGUGAAUCAACUAGGAUUUGAACUUGAGUCUCGGGUACCAACCACCAAACCCUUUGCCACUUGCUUUAGGGAUGGUCCGUAUAUGAAAGCAAAUGUCGUUUU
RNAcentral lists this long non-coding RNA (794 nucleotides) under Ananas comosus (pineapple). RNAcentral describes it as "long non-coding RNA (ACOM_LNC012517)". The record is from RNAcentral. Lineage: Eukaryota; Viridiplantae; Streptophyta; Magnoliopsida; Poales; Bromeliaceae.